UAGUCCACACUGUAAACGAUGAUUACUAGGUGUUGGAGGAUUGACCCCUUCAGUGCCGCAGUUAACACAAUAAGUAAUCCACCUGGGGAGUACGACCGCAAGGUUGAAACUCAAAGGAAUUGACGGGGGCCCGCACAAGCAGUGGAGUAUGUGGUUUAAUUCGACGCAACGCGAAGAACCUUACCAAGUCUUGACAUCCUGCGACGGUGCUGGAAACAGUACUUUCCUUCGGGACGCAGAGAC
RNAcentral lists this ribosomal RNA (243 nucleotides) under uncultured bacterium. RNAcentral's name for it is "partial 16S ribosomal RNA". It matches the Rfam family "Bacterial small subunit ribosomal RNA", at positions 791 to 1035 of the family's 1533-position model. The record is from RNAcentral.